UAUUCCUCGAUAAUAAGAUUAUAGUGUAUAGAUUCCAAGAACGUUAUAACUUGUUAUGAAGUUAAUUCUUCUGCUAUGGAGUCCUUGCCUGUUGCCAGCUGCCAGCUCCACUCUCAUUCUCACUCCUUUUGCUUUCUUCCCUUCAAACCCCACCACAAAACUCACUCCCCUUUUCAUCUCUGCGACUCUAGAUUCUCCGAACGACACUGCCCAAGAGCUCAUUGCUAGAAACGAGUACAUAUAGAGAGAGCAAAUGGGGAUCAACAGUGGAGGGAAGAAGUCAAGGAAGGAGAGGCUUCUGCAGAAACCCAUGAAGAGAUGAUCGCUAGUAUGGGCCCUCAAUGGUGGGUCGUUUUGGUUUCUGGGGUUAAUGAUCAGGAGGAUACUGACAAACUCAUAGCUGGUUUGCUAGCUAGGAUUUAGGAACUUUCCCAAUGUGAAUUUUAAGGUAAACACAGACCGACAAGCCAAGGUUAGUCUCUGAGAUUGAUAUGGAAGUAAUGUUCAGAAAGACCAAAAUAAACAUGGACAAGAGUUUAAGGAUGAGCAAAAACAAGAGAUUCUUACCAAAACGUCUAUCCAAAAAUUCUUUUGAUCCCUGGAGCUUCUUACCCCGGGUUCUACUGUUCAAUUAGUAAAGGAAAUUUUGCAGAAUUUGAAGGAUGCCUUGAUAAGGUCAAUAGCAAAACAAAAAAAGGUAACUGUGGGAUUUACUAUUUGGGAAAGAGAAUUUACUAGACUUGGAUGUCAAUGAAAUUGUUGCAGAGGUAACAAGAUAUAUGUUAACUUAUCAAAACCAUUAUUAAUUGGUAAGUUUUGUCCUUGCUUUCUUAGGCUACCAGGAUAUUAAUUGUUUUUUUUCCCUAUCAAAAGGCAGUGCUUUACAUAUAAUAGUAUGUGAUGUAAUGAAGUACAUUAACUGCAUAAUACGAAUAAAGAUUAAACUUCCGAAUUAUGUGUAGUUUGCGAAUCAAUCUCCACUCAAUUCAUCUACUUGAUUAGAUUUUCUGUCAUAUUGUUCCUCUCCUAUUAGUUCUAAGCAUGACAAGUUUUACUUUGAUUAUGUUUUUGUAGUGUUGAGCUUCACUUUGAAGCUUGUCAAAGACAUAGUAGUUUUAACAAAGAGAAUGCUUUUACCACUUUUUUCCUUUUAGGAUGCAAAAGUUGUGCAUGAUUACUUGUAGCUGAAAUUGGUCACUAGAGUGAAGAAGGGGUGAUCCAUCAACUUUUUUGUUUUUAUUAAAAGCAGAUAUAUUUAUACUUAACCAUGCUUUAAUCAUUAAGUUUAGUAGAUAAAGGAAAAAAAGUGGUAGAAAUAAGGGAAAGUCUGGAUCACCUUCAUUUAAGUUCUUUAGUGAAAUUUGUUGGAUCAAAGCAUUUAUCUUUUCAGGCUGAUUGUGUGCUUCUCUCUCUUCUACUCCAACUUUUCUCCAUAUCUGAGAAGACUUUGUUAACCAUUUUUUGUCAUUAGAAGGUUCUUUUUUUAUAUUUGUGGAUAACAUUUACCAGUUUAUAAAAAUAACAAUCAUUAUUUCAAGCUAUUCUAGAGCUACAACAGGAAAUACAUGCACUUGCAUAUAUAAAUAUAUAUAUAUAUAUAUAUAUUUAGUUCAUAACAGGAAAUACAUUUAUAUAUGUAUAUGAAAUGUGUUAGUUCAUGUUGGUAAAAAGAAAGCAAGGGAAAAUUUAUGUAAAGGUAUUAGAUUAGUGCAUGUUCGUUGUGACUGAACAGUUGUAAAAAGCAUAGACCAGUAAGCAAAAUUCAUAAAUGCACCUGCCAUAGGCUAGGUGGUAGAUACUAGAUAGUGGACAAAGAUUUUAGUUCUUUCAUUCAUUUUAAUUCAGAUCUUUUAUCAAAGAUGGGUUUGGAGCAUCUCGAGCGUCAAAUUAGUGAUACAUUGCUAAAAUAUAGGCUCACUUUACCAAAAAAAUUACUUCAGUGGUGUGCCACAUUUGGCACAUGCUAAGCCAAAUUUGGCACACAAUAUAGCAUAAAGCAUAUUAUGCAUCACCAUAAAUGCUACAUUUUUUUAUUUACUUUUAUAACAUUUUUAUUAUUUUAGUAUUAUUUUUAAUAAUCACCAUUAAAUGUUAGACUUUUUACCUUAUUAUUUUAUUAUUAUCUCUAACUACCAACAAUAAAAUAAAGAAAAAUUAUUACUUUUUGUAUAUUUUCAAUAAAUAUCAAAUUAAUGAAAAAUUGUUUUUUGCAUGGUGCUAAAAAUUAUUCCAAAUAUACCACAUAUUGAUUUUUUUGUACCAAAUAUAGUACAAUAUUUACAUCUCCCAUUGGAGAUGGUCUAAUGGAGUAAUUUCCACAAAGAGAAUUCUUAGGAGCUGUUGUGAAACUAGUUUUUUCCUUACUUGGAAUCAUCUUUGGAGUUGGACCAUAAAGCCAAUGAAAAUGAUGUUAAUCAUUGAUGGCAAUUAGCACAACUAACUAAUAGAGUGCCCAUUCUCACUUCCUAUAAUAAUAGGAUGUGAGUCCAGCAAGUGGGACCUAUAGUUUUGUGAAUAUGUGAUUGUGAAGUUAUUAUCAUCACGGGUGAAGAAAGAAAUUGCUCCAUCAUGAAAUUUUAUUAGUAGUCACAAGAGUUCCAAGGAAAUGUCUUGUGCCCUCACCUUAUGCACCUAAUUUACUAUGUUUAUUAAUUUGCUUCAUGAUUGCUUAGCUAUCUUCUUGGAAAAUUUCAUGUGUAGUGCUUUACCACCAUUGAACUCUCUCAAGGUCAUAUGAAAGGUUGAGUUUUGCUUCUCUCUCUCUCUCUCUUUGAGAAAUUUUGUUAUUUUCAUGCUUGUUUAUAGACCCUAGAGAUAAAGUUUAACUGAUUAAUUAAUUGCCCAUUUGCAGAAAAACCAAUUAGAUAGUAGAUAUUUGAUCAAAACACCAAGCAAGCGUGCACCACACAAGCCAAAGCCACAAAGGUUUGCUUGCUCUUUGACUAAUGAGGUUAAUGGCAGAGAGAAUCUUUGUAAUCUUUUUAAGCAUAGCCGACCAAAGUCUUUGAAAACUUCAAUAGUUUAUAACAUAGUUAUUUAUUUCAUGUUAUUCUUUUUAGAGAGCUACCCAGUGACCCUUAUGGUUCUUUAGGACACACACACAAACACAGGUGUCUAAGCCCAUUCAAUUUUUCUCUCUUCCUUUAUUUGUUUUAAAUAAAAUAAAUGGGUGGCAAAGCAAUAGCAUUGCAUGUCUCUCUCUCAUUCUCACUCUCCUCUCACUCUCACCCUAUGGUGGUCCUAAUAUGAUCCCCUUGAAGAAGCUUUUAAGGCACACCAAUUUAAUGUGCCAGCAAUUUCAAUAAAGUUUGUCUCAUAAAAAUAUCAUCUUGAACAAUAAAUGAAAGGAAAAAUAAAAGAGGAAAUCAUUUUUUAUUUCUUGUUUCACAUGAUGGCACUCUCUA
This is a long non-coding RNA of Humulus lupulus (European hop), 3404 nucleotides long. RefSeq lists it as uncharacterized. The transcript has 3 exons. The record is from RefSeq and is a predicted model, not a curated record. NCBI's taxonomy places the organism in Eukaryota, Viridiplantae, Streptophyta, Magnoliopsida, Rosales, Cannabaceae.